GACGUAGGGGGCAAGCGUUGUUCGGAAUUACUGGGCGUAAAGGGCGCGUAGGCGGCACGGCAAGUCGGGAGUGAAAGGCCUGGGCUCAACCGAGGAACUGCUUUCGAGACUGCCGAGCUAGAGUGCGGAAGGGGCGUCUGGAAUUCCCAGUGUAGCGGUGAAAUGCGUAGAUAUUGGGAAGAACACCUGAGGCGAAGGCGGGAUGCUGGGCCGACACUGACGCUGAUGCGCGAAAGCCAGGGGAGCAAACGGG
RNAcentral lists this ribosomal RNA (253 nucleotides) under uncultured bacterium. RNAcentral describes it as "partial 16S ribosomal RNA". It matches the Rfam family "Bacterial small subunit ribosomal RNA", at positions 524 to 776 of the family's 1533-position model. The record is from RNAcentral.